This 771-nucleotide unclassified non-coding RNA is filed under the name Hevea brasiliensis (rubber tree). The record is from RNAcentral. Lineage: Eukaryota; Viridiplantae; Streptophyta; Magnoliopsida; Malpighiales; Euphorbiaceae.
CGCCACAUAAAACAGCGUCAAUGAUAAUUCCAAAAGAGCAAAGGGCCAGAAAGCAUAUACCAACACAAUUCCAGCCCCCAUCCCAAAACACAUGCACACACACACAAUCAAAAAUAUCGUUGUUAGUGAUCGGUGAGCAAUGUGUCAUUGUCAAUGAGCUAAACCAAGAACAUACAUAUACAACAGCUCAAUAAUACUGAAAAGUAUCAAAUGCAUAUGACUAAAGACACCAAAUGAACUGUAAUUCAAAAAGUAAAAUUCACCCACCAUGUGGUUUUCUUUUUAUGCCACUUACACACCUUUAAUAGAACGCUAAGAACCCAAUGCAAUAAACAAUGAUAAUUCAUCACGAUUUAAAAAGAAAAAAUACCGAGAUUAACAAAUCAUCACUCAAUAAUUUCAGGUUGCCUAAUAUUCAAAUUCUAAUAGAUAAAAAAACAACUAAUUUUUGAACUAAAACAUGCAAUACCUGAAAAGAAUCAAGCCAACUGAGACGUGGGUAGAGGUUAAAUUCAAGAAAUUGUGAUCUGGGGCAAUAAGAAACCAUGAAGGCCUCCACUCUGGGAUGGAAUACUGUCAUUCUACCAUGACACAAAUCCAUGGUACAAAUCGGGAAUUACGGAAACCACAAGCUGUCCCUAGACCAAGCAAUUGUGGAGGAAAUUACGAAGAUUAUUGAGGGCUUCCAGCCAUUGAAGGCAGGAGAGAUGAGGGGAUGGGAAACAGAGAUUUUAGCGACGCUACACUUCAGGCUAUUGGGUUAGACCUUUU